Molecule: transfer RNA, 71 nt
Filed under: Marmota monax (woodchuck)
Lineage: Eukaryota; Metazoa; Chordata; Mammalia; Rodentia; Sciuridae
Description: tRNA.Ala
Rfam family: tRNA
About the family: Transfer RNA (tRNA) molecules are approximately 80 nucleotides in length.
Source: RNAcentral
GGGGUUGUGGCUCAGUGGUAGAGUGCUUGCCUAGCAUGCACGAGGCCCUGGGUUCAAUCCUCAACACCACA